UUGAACGCUGGCGGCAUGCUUUACACAUGCAAGUCGAACGGCAGCGCGGGGGCAACCCUGGCGGCGAGUGGCGAACGGGUGAGUAAUAUAUUGGAACAUAUCCGGAAGUGGGGGAUAACGUAGCGAAAGUUACGCUAAUACCGCAUAUGCCCUGAGGGGGAAAGGGGGGGAUCGCAAGACCUCUCGCUUUCGGAGUGGCCGAUAUCAGAUUAGCUAGUUGGUGAGGUAAAGGCUCACCAAGGCGACGAUCUGUAGCUGGUCUGAGAGGACGACCAGCCACACUGGGACUGAGACACGGCCCAGACUCCUACGGGAGGCAGCAGUGGGGAAUUUUGGACAAUGGGCGCAAGCCUGAUCCAGCCAUGCCGCGUGAGUGAAGAAGGCCUUCGGGUUGUAAAGCUCUUUCGGACAGAAAGAAAUCGCACUGGUUAAUACCUUGUGUGGAUGACGGUACUGUAAGAAGAAGCACCGGCUAACUACGU
RNAcentral lists this ribosomal RNA (482 nucleotides) under uncultured bacterium. RNAcentral describes it as "bacterial SSU rRNA". It matches the Rfam family "Bacterial small subunit ribosomal RNA", at positions 30 to 506 of the family's 1533-position model. The record is from RNAcentral.